RNAcentral lists this long non-coding RNA (2681 nucleotides) under Homo sapiens (human). RNAcentral's name for it is "HSALNT0099677". Lineage: Eukaryota; Metazoa; Chordata; Mammalia; Primates; Hominidae. The record is from RNAcentral.
GCGGGGCCUGCCGCCGCCACCGCCUCAGGGAAGAGGAAGGAGGCCGCGGCUUCGCGUCCCGCCUCUCGCCUGGCUGGCCGUGGGGGGCCUGGACGCAGUGGCCUCCCGAAUCUCCCAGGACCCUAAUAUCGCCCGAGGAUGCUGGGAGGAACGCUGAGCCGACCUCUCCGUUAGGCUGAAGAUUGCACAAACCAUGCUAAUGGCCAGCAUGGAUGGAGGGAGCGUGUGAGAUGUGUGGGGCAGCGUGCUGCAUCUCAGCCAACUCCAGGAGCCAGUUGAUGUGAUGGACUACCUUAAUUGAUUUUUGAAUGUUGAGCCAGCCUUAUGCAUGUGGGAUAAACCCCUGUUGAUCAUGGCUGGCUGGAGUGCAGUGGUGCAAUCAUGGCUCACUGCAACCUCAAAUUCCUGGGCUCAAGGGAUCCUCCUGCCUCAGCCUCCCAAGUAGCUAGGACUACAGUUCCUGCUGGAAUCUUGCUGUUGCCCAUUCAAGUCUGGUGGUUCCUGUGUGUUGGGGUGGCCUUGCUUCUCCUGCUCUUAGCUCUGGAGGAGCCCUCGGCUGGUGCUGCAGUGAAUCUGUCAGAGUCGUCCUAACCAGAGUGCCCCCAUCCUGAAUAGAGGCUGGAUAAAGCCAAACCUGCUGGGUUAUAGUCCCAGGGGAUUGGGCAGUCCUGGUCACAAGAUAUUUAAGGUUGAGGGAAUAAGUUAAUGAUGCUAAGUAAAUAAAGACCCUGAAUUCUUUCCCGUGAGAGAUUCAAGAACUCACUCUUGGCAUCUGGGAUAAGACCCUUUUUCCGGUAACAAACCCCUGCCCUGGCCCUUUCUUCCUUCUGGAAAACUUAAAAAAAAAAUAGGCCUCAAAAAGACUGCAUUAAUCUGAGAAACUGCUGAAUAUGGCUACUAAGAGAAGCUGGGAUUUUCUGAUUUUUAAUGUCGGUUUCAAAGAGAGCAGGUAUACUUUGCAGGAGGGAACCAUGCUAGCUGCAGAAUCAUGGACGAGCUGGACCACAAGUUUUUACACAGUGUGCAUGCUUUUGUUCUCCUGUCAACUUCUGUUGUUUUCCUGUCAACUUCUGUUGUUUUCAUCAAAAGCCAUCAACCCGCCUCAGCCAGGGCAUCAUAAUGUACAUGCAACAGAGUGUUCCAAGAAACUUUCAGCUGAGACCCUAAGACCCUGGACAUGCAAUGCCAGAGUGAAGUGUGAGGACCACAGCUGUGCAGGACAUGCAGAAAGGAGGGGCAGAGAGCCAAUGAGAUGAUGUCCCACGACUCACCUGUGUCAGUGGAGACCGAAGGAGACUUGGAGGGUGCUUUUGGAGAGAACUGCUGAUGUUUUGUGAGCCUCACUCUCUCUGUGUGUGGAAAUGCUGGAGGAUGAAACCGUCUAAACUCUCCUGAAGUCCCGGGAAUGGAGUUUUAAUGGUAAUGUGUGAUGGGAUGUGUGUUCUCUUAUGGUAUGGGAGACACAGAGGACUCACAGAGGACUGGCCUCUGCCUCUUGACCAGGGAUCAGGAGAGAUGGGAACUGAGCUGGUCAGCUGCUCUUCAGAGCUGGUCGAGGAGAGAUUUCUGCUGUGCUGGGAGGGCCUAAAAACAUGCAUGGAUGGAGCCCAAGGACCAGGUGCAGAUCUUAUGCAAGAAUGAACCAGGGGGUGACUUAGGUCCACCAAAAGACUGCCCAGAGGGACAAAAGGCUAUCAGUGAAAAGAAUCCACAGAUGAACUGCCAGUUCCUCAGGGCUGAGGCAAGAUCUUAAUUUUGAGUAGGAGCAGAGUGUAUUACCUACAACAAGGAUACCACAGAUGAGAAAACCCUAGUUUUAAACCUGCUACAUCCAAAGAGAGCAAUGCAACUCUGGCAGUAGCAAAAAUGUUGUGCCUCUCCUUUCCUCACUCCUAAUUUCCCAUCCCAGAGAAGGGUCAGAAACCAUCUUCUGCAAGAUGGGAGGAAGGGUAGCAGCCAGACUGCAAAAAGGGAGAAGAAACCAGCUACCUCUUGCUGUUCUCAGUGGCAGACUCCCCACCUGCAACAGGUCAGGUCUGUUACUGGAGAGAAAAGACAGGACAUUUUUAAAUUCUAGGUAUAGAGCAAUAAAAGAAGAAUUCAAGCAAAGGGAUCAGGAAGAGGAUUGCUACUAAGAGGCAGAGAAACCAAUGAAGCCUUUUGCCAUCUCACACUGGAAAGACAAAAAGUCAUAGAGGCUUGAUUUUUAUAAGGAAAGAGAAGUGAGAAACUGACCUCGAUACUUUGUUGGACUUGCCUAAAGACAUUUGCUGAAUUCUCGGGCUGUGCUGGGAUGGAGAUUAGAGGCCAAAUAAAAACCUCUGGAAGCAUGCUCAUGGCAAUACCCGGAGUCUCCACUGCAAGACCAGAGUGACGGAGGCAGCAGAGCUCCUCAGCAGGCCAGGAGUCUCCAGAGGCACUGCCGAAUGUCUAAGAAGCAACCUCAUUGUAUUCCCAAGACCUGGGAAUCCAGGUCUCGCAGAUACGAUGAUACAAUCUAUAGCCAGGACAUCUCUUCAUGUGUAGGAUAAGCAACUAUCCCAGUCUUCCCAGGAUUGAGGGGCUUCUCCAGAUGCUGCACUUCUGGUGCUAAAAAUGAGAAACUGAAAUGAAUUAGUCACCCAAGGAAUGCUGACCCUGUGCUAUAUGAUCACAUUUACUCUUUAAAGCAAUGCUUUGAG